This 590-nucleotide long non-coding RNA is filed under the name Brassica rapa (field mustard). Its description in RNAcentral is "long non-coding RNA (BRAP_LNC000777)". Lineage: Eukaryota; Viridiplantae; Streptophyta; Magnoliopsida; Brassicales; Brassicaceae. The record is from RNAcentral.
AACGUUAUCAUAAACAAUAUGUCGUCAUCACAGUUCGCUAUCUUUUGCAUCAUCUUGAUUGCUUUAUCUCCUCUUCAAGAAUGUAUGCAUUUAUAAUAGUUUUCAUUUGUUCAUCAUCUAUCUUUUUCACCAUUGUAAUUCCAUCAUCAUAUCCUCGAUAGUUGUUUUUCCUCCAAAUGAUAUUGUUGUUACUUUUUUGUUUAUAUAGUUGUCGAUGCAGCUAAAGGAACAUGCAGCCAAAAAGUAUGCCCAAAACUCAAAACCAAAGAUAAGACUUGCUUUUGUUGUUCCUCCACUGGGGGUUGCUCCGGGACCAGACAAAAUUGCGAAGGUUGGUGUAAAUAAAUUAUCUCGAGAAGCUGCAUCAAGGAUUUAAGAAAACCUGAAUAAUCAUUUUAUUUAAUUCUUCCUAAUAUCUACUUUUGUUUUAUGUGAAUAAAGCAUGCUCAUCUAGAGCCCAUCAAAUACAAUGCAUGCCUAUUGUAUUUGUGUCCAGAGACUUUCAUAUUCUAUUCUAUGCAAUGCGCAUCAUUUAAACUUAUUUUGUCCCCUUUUGUUUUAAUUUGCUAUUAAUUUCUUAAAUAUUUCUU